Molecule: ribosomal RNA, 342 nt
Filed under: uncultured bacterium
Lineage: Bacteria
Description: bacterial SSU rRNA
Rfam family: Bacterial small subunit ribosomal RNA
Source: RNAcentral
GACGAACGCUGGCGGCGUGCUUAACACAUGCAAGUCGAGCGGUAAGGCCCUUUCGGGGGUACACGAGCGGCGAACGGGUGAGUAACACGUGGGUGACCUGCCCUCAGCUCUGGGAUAAGCCUGGGAAACUGGGGUCUAAUACCGGAUAUGACUCCAUGACGCAUGUUGUGGGGUGGAAAGCCUUGUGCGGCUGAGGAUGGGCCCGCGGCCUAUCAGCUUGUUGGUGGGGUGAGGCCUACCAAGGCGACGACGGGUAGCCGGCCUGAGAGGGCGACCGGCCACACUGGGACUGAGACACGGCCCAGACUCCUACGGGAGGCAGCAGUGGGGAAUCUUGCGCAA